GAAGAGUCUUAGUUUCAUCAUCUUGGCUUUACUUGUAGUGGCAAACACGAAAACCACACUUAUUACAGCCAGUAGUUUUAGCCAAGAAUAUCACCCAGAUGCUUCAUUUUCUAAUAAUCCCGCAGCAUCACCUGAAAUUGUCGAUUGCUCAGGGCUUACAAGGGAAGAGUGUUUGAUCGAGAAGUCAAAGAACGCUCUCAGAGACUAUAAAUACUACUGCCCCCCGGGGGGAUGCAAAUGAUUUUGAUAAUCAGUUAUUUCAUUUGUCUUUUAUGAAUGCUUUUACAAUAAUGAUCAAUUGUAGUGAAAUUGAAAUUGUGUUUUAAUAAAAGAAGAAAUUAAUUCAUUAUGGGUACGUAACGUUAGGUCAUGUGGUUUCGGUGUGUGAAUUGGCUUUGUUUUUUGUAUGCAUAGCAUUGAAUCAAUCUACGAGAGGGCAAUCUAUUGAAAUACUAAUAAUGAUAAAGCAAUCAUUAUUUUUGUGUUAGUACUAUUUGUAAUAUUUGAAUUUUAAGUCCAUUUUCUUUUAGGGUGAGGCUAAUUGCAUCCUAACAAAAAAGAAAAAAGAAAAAAAAAGGUUUUCAACCUUUAUAUUUUAUCGGAAUCUUAUAUUACAAAACAGUCUGAAUUAAUUUGAAGAGUGAACUUCAAUUUACGCCUCGUGAAUCUUCAGUUUACCACUAACAAAUGUGAAAACACCAACUUAUCUCAUUUACUGCAAAGGAAAUAAAUAGAAAAUUUAUCAACGUCCCCGCUAUUUACGCUCAUCUUAUGAAAAAAAUUAAAGUAAAUUGAGAUUUUCAUUCUUUUGAGGGUAAAUUGAAGAUUUUUAUUGGGAGGGGGAUGAAUUGAAGUUUACCCCAAUUAAUAAAAUUUUUCUUAUUAUUUUUGACACGUGUUUGCCCGAUAUACUAAACAAAAAAAAAUCUUUUUUUAAUUAGAUGAAUGUUGUGGGGAUGCUGGAAAGGACCAUUUGCAAAUCUCAUUUAAAAGAAAAAAUAUAUAUAUAAGGGAAUGGAAAAUUUGUUGGCUAAUUACAAUUAUUAGGCAGCACAAGACAAGCCACACUGUCACAGUAAUCAUAAUUUUAUUUUGUCACUUGAAAAUAAAAAUAUCGGCUUCUUACUUCCUUCUAUUUUAUUUUGUUUUAUUUCAUUUUAAUUUUUUUUAAAUCAAAAAAUAGUUUCAAUCAAUUGUUUCUAAGUGCAAAUAUAUAUUCUUUUGUUUUUUGAGAUGGCCAGCUUGAUUGUAAUUUAAUAUAUGUUUUUGUAACUGAAAUUUAGAUAUUUCUUUAUUUUUGUUAUUUGGCUAAAUAAUGUAAUAUUCUUACUUAAUUGAUGACUUAAAAAUGAUAAUGUAUUAAUUGUUAAUUUUUAUGCAGCUAGCCAGUAAGAUAAGAAAAAGUUUUUGAUAAGAAAACAAUGGAAGCAGGGAUAGCAAUUAAUUUAUAAUCAUUUGAUGAUGCAAAACAAAGACUGCAUGAUGUUGGCUCCUACAAAGUUCAAGACCCGGAUGUAGUUACCACUAAGAAUAACAUGUUACCACAAAGAAACACGUGAAGGAUUAUUUAGUACAAGGAGUCUUAAUCAAUAUCGUUAGUUUUUAGCUUUUCUUGGCCUGUCUUUCUUCUGUGAUGCUCUUGAGAUGUUAUGAAUUAAACAAAUACAAGUUCCUAAUCACACUUUUAUCAUAUAGGAAGCAUUAUAAAAUGAAGAAACAAAUUCUCACACUCGGCGUCCAAGAAGACCUGAGACAAUGAACAAGUAGGGGAUUAAGCACUGUUUUGUAGACUGAACAGAGAAGCAAUAGCAAAUAGAUAAGGCGUCCAAUCACUACUAGAAAAAUGGUAUUUACUGACUUUAGAAUAGUGUCAGAAAUUACUUUCACUGACACUUGUUAAUUGUGUCAGUAAUCUGGGAGUCAAAAAAAUAGUGACACUUGUAAUUGGUUUUAGUGAUUACUAUUACUAUAGUAUUACCAGAUUUAUGACACUAUGGUAUUAGUAAUUAUUGAUAAUGAUCACUUGUUAAAAGUUACUUUCACCAUAGUAUCACAAAAUAUUAUGACACUAUAGUGAUAGUAUUUACUAACAAUUAUUACACGUCAAUAGUUUGUUUUACACUGGGAUAUGACAUGAUAGAAUAAACGGAUACUAAUACUUUAGUGUCAACAAUUUGUAAUACUAUAGCAUCACUGAUAUUAUGAUGCUGAAUCAUUUUUUAGCGUCAAUGGCUUCAAAGAAAAGAUGCUGAAAUUAUUGUUGCUACUCAAUUAUUUUCAUUAUUCUUUUAGUUUUGCCAAUCAAAUAAUGGUAUUUAAAGAAAAUCUAUUCAAAUUAAACUAAAGUACAAAUUUGAAUAAUUAAAUAUAAGUAUAUAAUAUUCCUACUAACAUUUAAAUAAGUAUCAAAUAAAAUAGUAAUACAAAUAUCCAAAAUAUUAUUUGAAAACAUGUCAAAUAUUUACAUGAACACAUAAUGACAGUUUGCAGGAAACAAUCAGUACAUCUCCUCUUUGAUCUUUACCUUUCCCUUCACCUUUCCCACCUAUAAUUGCAGUAUAUAGAAUCAAUUAGCUACUAUGCUACAAAAAUCAAUUCUUUGAUAUUUACAAGCAAAAAUAUAAUUUACCUCAUUAUUGUAUGCUACAAGUAACUUUGCAACAUACAUCACCCACUGAUCGCGAACUUGCGAAAGAUCGUCCAUAGUGUACUCAUUACAGCCCUUGAACUUCAAAAAUAAAGCAACAAAAUAUAUUCAUAUAUUAUAGAAUCUGUCCUAAAAUAAAACAACACAAUAAAAACAUAUAUUUUUAAGUUUGCCAGGAUUAACAUCAAAACUGAAGAACAUGCAAAUAAAUUGUAUUGCCAUAGCAAACAACGGUUACCAAAGCUGUCUAAGAAGCUGAUAAUUUAUAAUAUAUUAUUUGUUUUACUCAAUAUUACUUCUAACACUCAGCACUGGGAUUUAUAUGCUUUCUAUCUGUACAUGCAGUAGCUCCAAUCAUUGCUCAAUAAUACUUUAACACUGAACACUAAGAUUUAUAUGCAUUCUAUUUGUACAUGCAACAGCUCCAGUCAUUUUGGUUUACACUAAAGUGCCUUAAAUACAUAGUAGAACACAGUAAAAAUUGGCAUUAAUUUUUCCAAACAUGUUGAAUUCAUUCAGUAAAAUGUAUAUAGCAUUAUAGCUUUUACCUAUAAUAAAUAUGGCAAAUAAAGUGUAUGUGAUUAUCCUAAACAUACACAACACUUCCUCUAAUCCCUAGCACAAGAUAUGAUUAUAUUGCUAGUUUCAAGCAUAAAGCAGCAAAUUGUUCACCCAUUAACCAUCUUCACAAUUCACUUAAGAAAAUCCAUUUCACAAUGCAUUCUUCGAAAAAAUAUUAAACAAGUUCUGGAGAAACUCACAUUGUUUCAAGAAUGCACAAAUCGCGAACAAUAUCCUGGAUGUACUUCAUCACAUAGUAACCACAUUCAAAGGUUCCGGGUUGUUUCGGACACUAAAAAAAAAAAAAAAAAACUUUGUUUCAAAUAUACUGAUGAAGUAACAAUGGAAAUCAUAACUUUGUUUCAUUAAUACCUUUACAAAGACCCACUGCACAGCCUUCUUUUUAUUACUCUUCACUUGAUGCAUUGUUAUUCCACUAUAAAUAAUAAAUAACAGAUGCAACAAAUUAAUCUACAGCAUAAAAAAUUAAUAAAGAAUUAAGUAAACUAAUUAAACUUACUCAUUCACCAUUUGCUUCAACUCAUCAUCAUGAUUAUCACCUAAUGGAUCAAGAUAAUAAAUUUUUCGCCUCACCAUAUCAAUUGCUACUAGCACCCAGUGGCCACUAAACAAACAAGUAAAAAAAAAAAUAGAUUACAAGAUAAAUUUAAAUCAUUUAUGUUAAAAAAUAAAUAAACUAUACCCUGGGUUAUAUGGGAAGACAAUUAUUUGGGCUAUUUGAAUCUUGUCCAAAAGGUCUGAAAUAUAGGAACACCUAUUUGGGUAGCUUGCUUGACUUGGGUGUAACUUAGCUAUGCAUCCAAAUUGAAUUGGAAUAACACCACUGCCAUUAUCCAUCUCUUCAUACAAGUGUCUAUUGAAAAAAGAAACUUUCAUGGCAUGAAUAUAAGAAAUAAAUUAAUGACAGUUUGCAAAAUCAGAAAACAUAGUAAAAACAUAAAUCAAGUUUUUUAUUUCUUACUUGAUCCAUAUCUCCAAAACAGAAUUUGAGAGCUCUGUAAACUCAAUGACUUCAUUGCAAAUCUGCUCUCCCAGUAGACACCAAAAGUCUUCAAAUCAUGGGCAAUCAUAAUCGUCCGUGGCAGGGAGCUCUCAAUCAUCAAAGAAAAGAUGUUCAUUUCUGAACUUUUGUUCUCUUUUCUUGCUUUCACAGCUCCACGGGUAUUCUUUCUCAGAACCAGUUUCCUUGCUGUCACUAGUUUUACAACAACGGGUUCCUUUGUUGUUCGUUUCUGUUCAUACAGAUAUACCACGGCAUUUGUAGGAGACUUUCGGCCAUCCACUUUUCUCUUUGAAGGAGUUAAUCUUGGAGAUCUUCUUGGGGUGAUUUUUGAAGUGGCUUCACAAACUACUGGGGAUGGAUUCUGUGCAGGGGAUGGCAGGGGAGGUGUGUUGAUGUUUUUGUCAGGUUUUGGACAAAUAGUGGGGUCAUUGGUCACUGACUUUGGACUAACUUUGGUCACCGACUUGGGGGUAGCUUUGGGGUUGUUGGUCACGGACUUUGGGGUAGCUUUGGGGUUGUUGGUCACUGACUUUGGAGUUGCUUUGGGGUUGUUAGUCAUUGACUUUGGAGUAACUUUGCUGGGUGAUCGACGAUCUAUCUCCAUCUUAACACUGCAACCACCUUUGGAGUUAGGAAAUUUGGAACUGCCAACUUCAGUGUUGUUGCAUGCGUUGAUCCUUGCAUUCAUUUGAUCUAAUUGAGCUUGCAUAAAUUGAAAACUCUCCUGAUACAUUCUCCGUUCUCGCGCCAACUCCGUGGGGUUAGGGACAUUGAAAUACAUGGAUGGGGUGAUGAAUUGACCCAAUCCUUACACCCGACUUCCAUUAGGCUUCUUUUGAAGUGCUUCACCUAGGAUAUCACUCGGUCCUUGGGAUUGGAACGUUCCCUGCUCAACUUGACUUCUUAGCUCACUCUACAAAAUAAAUACAAAAAUAAUUUGAUCAAAAUUAGGAAUAAAAAAACAAAUAAGUUAAAUAAUGACAGUGGUGGUGGAAACUUACAAUUCUCUCAGCCACUUGCUGCACUUCAGGUGUAUAAGUUCCAUCUUUUCUCCUAUGAGCCAAUAACCAGGCUUCACUACGGUCAAUCUCGCGCUCAGUAACUCCGAGGUCCAACUGCUGUAAUAAUUCAACAAAAAUUGAAUUGAAAACUACUAUGAAUCAUCAUAUUAUUUGUAUUGAAAAUGUCAUAAGUUUGUAUAGAGUGGUUAUUAUACUUACUCUUUUAUGCAACAGCCCAGCAUAUCCUGUGCUACCCAAGUGAUGAUUGUACAUAUUCUUUGCUCUUUUUUCCUUUGCUGCCUUACUUUUUUCCUGCACAAAGCGGAUAUUGAUUAAAAUGGUUACAGGAACUCAAUAAUAUUAUCUAACUAACAUAAUUUUAAACAUACCUGAAAGUCUUCGGAUAAAAUCUUAUCAACAAAGCUCUUCCAGUCCUCUUUUCUAAUGCUUUCAUACUCAAGAGGAGGCUUUUUGAGUGAACUCAAGUUGUUUGCAUUGGGCAGAAUAUAUUCAUUGGCCAACUUACAUCUAAAGCCCCUUAAUGCAAUUCCCAUCCACUUGAACACUUGGGUUUUCGCCUUAAAACUCAACUUAAACUUUUCCUAAAAAUGAGUCCAUAACGUCUCCUUGAUGUCUAGUGGCACUUUCCUCCAAUCAUCAUAGAUAAUUGGAACUCUUUCCCGUACAAUCACCCCAAUGUAGUUCCUCAGAUCAUUUCUCUUUUUUCCAACUGGAACUCCGUAGGAAUUGUACAUAACCUCAGUGUCGUCACUAGCUCCUCUCUGCAGGUCUUUCUUCUUUGUAAGGUUUCGUCUUGGUCUUCCUUCUAGAUCUGGAUCAAAUGUUGGCUCCUCUUUUUCUGCCAUGUCUCCAACAAACCUGCAAAUACAUCAAAGUGGAUGAGUGCACCAGAUACCAAUCUAAUAUCCCAAUAUAAUAAUAAAAUAAUAAAAAACAAAUUUGUUGGUGACUUACGGGGAGUAGUGGUAAUAAGGCAUAGUAAUUGGAUUAUUCAUUUUCCGCACCAAUAAUUACAAGAAAAACAUCAACAACUACUCUGACACAAACUCCUCAUCACCCAAACCUAACUUACAUUCUGGAAAAUUGUUGGAUAAUGGUGCAUACUCAUCGAUGCCAUCACACAAGUCCUCAUUUGAAUAAUUACAUUUUGAGCUCACUGAACAAACAACUGAUUUACUAUUAUCUAACUGAUCUUUUACAUAAAACACUUGCUUUGCAUGACCAGCUAGAAUGAAACAAUCAGAUUUGUAGCCUAUUCGAUCUAAAUUGACUACAGUGAACCCUAACUCAUCAACAUUAACCCCUUUAUCAUCUACCCAAUCGCACUUGAAAAGUACGUUCUUAACCCCCAGAUAAUCAAGUUGCCAAAUUUCACUGACAACCCCAUAAAAAGGCAUAUCCCCAGAAUGAGGAUUUUUGUCUUUCGAACUUGAAAUCUGUAAAGUGUUAUCAACUACAUAAACGCUACUGUUUUGUGUUAUGCGGUUGCUGUCCCGAUCUCUUGUAGCAAAAUUAAAACCAUUAAUACAAUAGCCAUCAUAUGUAACCACGCUUGAGCGGGGUUUGUUUGCCAGCCACCAUACUUUUUCGUCAACCACUUCCUUAUUUGCUUUAUCAGUUGUCACCUAUUGUUCAAUUAAUAAAAUCACAAUAAUUAGUUGAAAGAGAAAAGUUUGUGUGCUUUUACUUGGAUACUUUUAUUAGAUCUAAUGAAGUUAAUCUAACCUUUUGUUUCAGCCAAUCAGUAAACGUACGGGAGUGCUCGGUUGGCAACCAUAAAGGCUUUUUUAAUUGAUGAGGGUGUGUUGAUUGCAAUAAGGCCAAAUGCUCCCUAAAAUUAUACCAACAGAAUUAAUAAAAUUGAAAAAAAUUAACGAAAAAGAGGUUCAAAUUUUCAGUCACAUACUCUAUGUAUGGUUGAAUCUCGGGGGUGUUCACCAGAACACAUCGGUGCGCUUGCGCCAAUGUAAGGCCAUCAACCACCUUAAUAUUUGCACCUCCGAGUGGCCUUUCAACUGUAAAAUGAAUUAGACAACCAGUAGGUAGUCCGAUUGAUUUACAAUUUGAAAGGUAUUCAUCAUAAAAUUCAAGUGCUUCCUCAGCAAUAUAGCACUCUAUAAUGCAACCUUCAGGACGGUAUCGGUUGCGUACAUAGCCCUUUAUAGGUUUCAUUUUUCUCUCAAAUGGAUACAUCCAUCGAAGGUAAACCGGGCCACAUAAUCUAACUUCUUCAACUAUAUGGACUGUUAAAUGGACUAUUAUAUUGAAGAAGGCAGGUGGGAAAGAUUGUUCUAAAUUGUAUAAGGUGAUUGUAAGUUCUUUUUCCAAUUGGUCUAGAGAAUUGGGCUCUACUACCUUAGAACACAAAGAAUUAAAGAAGAGGCACAACCUGAUUAUGACAGAUCUGACAUUUAGAGGUAAACAAUUUUGAAUUGCUAAUGGUAAUAGUUGUUGCAUCAAUGUAUGAAAAUCAUGAGACUUAAGCCCGUGAAGACGACAAUCAUCCAUUGAAACAAUAUUUCUAAAAUUAGAACAAUAGCCAUCAGGAACUUUAACACUUUGCAAGGUUUCACAGAACAUUUUUUUUUCCUGCUUACUUAAAGUGUACGGGGCAGGGGGCAGGACUUUGUUUUGUUCAUCAGGAGCUAAUACAAUCAAUGCUUUGUUAAUUUUUUCUCUAAGGUCUGGAUGUGUAAGAUCUUUUCUAGCAUUAAUUCCAUCUUUUGUUUUCCCCGGUUGAUGGAGUAAUGUGCCAUAGAUGCUCUCGCAUACAUUUUUCUCAAUAUGCAUCACAUCUAGUUGAUGGCGAACUAACAAAUGUUCCCAAUAUUCUAAAUCAAAGAAGAUUGAUCUCUUUUUGUACAGCAAUUGAGCUACAUCCCCAUUACCCUCACCCUCACCUUUAAUCUCAUUAUCUCCCUGACCCUGACCCUGACCCUGACCCUCAACCUCACCCUCACCCUCACCCUCACCCUCACCCUCACCCUCACUCUCACCUUUACCCUUACUGUUACCCUCACCUUUACCCUUAUUGUGACCCUCAACCUCACCCCGUUUUCGCUUUUUUUGGACCUUUUUCCCAAACUUGGUGUCAAUGUCAGCCACCAAGUUUAAGAUAUUUGUACCAGACAAAGGCUUUGGAGAAUUUUCAAUAAACAGCCUAUGACCCAUAUAUGACAUUUUCCGACUAUGCGAUAGCCAACAUGCACAUGUGUUUAUCCAACAAACUGGACAACCAUAAUACCCCUUAACAGUACACUCAGACAGGUUUCCAUAAGCUGGAAAAUCACUAAUUGUCCACAUCAACACAGCUCGUAAAUUAAAAGUUUGUUUCCUAUAACCAUCAAACACAUCGACGCCUACAUCCCAUAGGAUUUUUAAGUCCUCAAUCAAUGGUGCUAGGUAUACAUCUAUGUCAUUUCCAGGUUGUUUAGGACCAGAUAUCAGUAGAGACAACAUCAUAAAUUUCCUCUUCAUACACAGCCACGGAGGAAGGUUAUAUGUUAUCAAUGUAACAGGCCAACAACUAUAAGUAGUGCUAAGUAUGCUGUGUGGGUUAAUCCCAUCAGAUGAUAAAGCGAACCGAAGAUUUCUCGGCUCUUGGGCAAAAUCAGGCCAUUUCUUGUCAAUUAACUGCCAAGUUGGUGAAUCUGCUGGGUGGCGAAGCUUGCCAUCUCUAAUUCUUUUAUUUUCAUGCCAUGUUAAGUUCUCAGUAGUUUGUGGUGAUUGCAACAUUCUUUUCAACCUAGGAAUUAUAGGAAAAAUACCAUAACACCUUUUUAGGGACCCCCUUUCUAAUUUUUUUUUAUCCAUCUUUUCUUAUUUGCCACCUAAAUGCUCCACACCUAGGGCAUUCACUAAGAUUCUUGAACUCAUUCCUAUAAAGAAUGCAAUCAUUUCGACAUGCAUGUAUUUUCUCAUAAUCUAAGCCUAAUAGCUUCAUUAUUUUUCUGGCCUCAUACAUGGACUUAGGCAAACUAUUAUCAUUUGGCAAUAUCUCAUUAAGCACUUCCAAUCAAACUGAAAACCCACUAUCAGACCAGCCAUAAAGUCCUUUUAUAUUGUACAGUUUCAUUAGACUCGAUAACUUUGAAUGCUUUGAACCUGGAUAUAGGGGCUUUUCAGCAUCUUCAAGCACAUUCUUAAAAGAACUAGGAUCUUUAUCACAAUGCUCAAAAGCAUCAUGAACCAUGUCAUCUACAUAACUAUAAUUCGGACAUCUAAAACGUUGAUUUUGUGGCUGGUCUUGGCAUUUUACAGAGGUAGGUUUCCGGUCCACCUCACCAUGCCAAUUCCAAACUAAAUAGUUUUCUAGAAAACCUUUUUUAAAUAGAUAUAGCCUCACUUGUUGAGGACUCAAAAACUCCAUAUUACAACAAGUGGUACAAGGACAUCUAAUUGACAUUCUAUUUUCAGAAUUAAGAAUGGCAAACUCCAAGAAAUCAUCAACCCCAUCACUAUACUCAUCAGACAAUCUAUCACAGAAUAUCCAAGUUUUGUCCAUAACUUGUAUUGUUACCUGUUCAUUUGUUAGAUGUUGUUAGUUUAAUAAGUUUACUUAAAUUGCACAAAUAACUCCAAACUUUAGGUUUAAAUUAAAAAAUACAAAUUUCAAAAUAAAUCUAAAUUCUAUUUGUUUAGAGUCACUUAAAUAUAUGUACGCAUUCAACAACCCAACAGAGCAUAUAUGUAAGCAUUCAGCAACCCAACAGAGCAUAUAUAUAAGCAUUCAGCAACCCAACAGAGCAUACAUGUACACAUUCAACAAGCCAACAGAGCAUACAUGUACACAUUCACCAAGCCAGCAAAUCUAACUUACAUGUACACAUUCAGCAAGCCAACAAAACAUGCCAUAUCCACAUUUUUCAAAAUUUCUUUUUCAUAUUAGAACAAACAAAAGUAUAUAUUAGAAUAAAAAAAAUUAUUCCAGAACAGUCUAUGCAACAAAAACGAAAGUAAAACUAUGCAUGUCAAUAUUUAAAACAUGUCAGUACAAGUAAAACUCAGAACACAACGAUAAUAUAAAUUGAAAGUAAGUGAGUGAUUUAAAAGAAUUACCAAAUGAAGACAGCCGUUACACCGUAAACUUUUGUGAUUCUUCAAAAGCGACAGAUUGUUAAUUAUUAUGUCAGAGAGCUGUACAAGGGAAAUCACAUAAAAAAAUAUUAAGGACAAUACUUGUUGUUGAAGGGUUUGCAUGUGAGAUAUUGCAUUUAUACUAAGUCUAGCAAGUGCAUUACAGGGAAAGGAUUGAUGAAUUGACCCUUUGUUAAUAUUUAUCUUUAUCAAGCGCUAAUUAAAUGGAACAAGUUAGGCCCAAAAUUAAAAGCAUCAUGCAAAAUUUAAAAUGCAAUUUCGAGAAAUGGGGAAAAUGAGAAAAACCCAAAUCUACAUUGACAUUGUAUCCAUCAAUUCCAGUUAAAGUGUACAUGAAAUUCAAAGUCCAGUGACAUGGCAACUAAAGAAUGAGACGAAAGAAAACUGAUUUGAAUCAGACACUUAUAAAACUACUCUUAGUUAAAGACUCUAGUACAAUAAUUCAAAUUCAGUUAACUUUACCUCUCUGUUAGGUUUUCCCAGGUCCCAAAUUAUAAACAAUCAAGAUUACAAAAAAAAACUAAGAAUUUUAAAACUCAUCUACAGUUAAACCGCAACAAAACAACAUGCAUAAGGAAAAUAGGCACUGUAAAUUGGAAACAUAAUAAUUAAAAAUAAUUAAAAAUAAUUAAAAAUAAAUAAAAAUGAAUAAAUGACACCUUCAUAAACGAAUUUAUUGCAGUGAAGAGAGAGAGACAGAGAGAACCAAAUCGUGAUAGAAAUGAAUUCCUCUGCUUUGAGCUUGGUUGGGAUCGACGUGAAGUUUGAUUACAAUGAGGGAUAUGAUUUUAGGGUUUGGUUUACUUAGCUUUGACAGAGAAUGAGAACCGAGUGGUGAAAGACUAAUGAGUGAAUGACUUAGAAAAAAAUUAGCUUCGAUUUUGGUCUUAGGGUUGAAUAAAACGAUGCGUUUUACUUAUCUUUAUUUUUCCUAAGUGAAACGAUACCGUUUUUAACUGAAAAUAUAUUAUUUACUAGUAAAUUUUCAGCCAAAACCCGCUAAAAUUUUCACUGAGCCGCACUCAAUACAUUUCAAGUGCUUCAUAUUAAAAUUAUAAUAUUCUACUAAUUCAGUAGCAUAACUAACAAAAAGUCAGAACGGUUUCAAUUUUAAACUUAAAGGCUUUGGCUUUGGAAAGUCCUGGGUUCGAAAUCAGUUUGGAACGAAAUUUAAAUUUUAGUUUCUUUUACUAAUACCUUAGUGUCACCAAGAUAAAGACCAAUGGUCUUUUUCUUAAACUUAAAUGUUCCGAUGUUCGAGGUCCCAGGUUCGAAUUCCAUCCGUUACAUGAUUAGAAUUAUUUUAUUUUUAUUACUAAUACUUUAGUGUCAGCAAUUUCUUAUGUCCAAAUUGCAGACACCAUAGUAUCAUUAAUUUGUGAUACAUAUGUGUUAAACACGGAAAAUGACCCAUAUGUAUACAAAUACUGAUACUUUGUAAUAAAGUGUCACAAACCAAGUGUCAGUAAAGACCAUUUUUCUAGUAGUGAAUGAAGCCAGCAGCUAAUGCUCCUUAAAUUUGAUCGUGGUACUGGGGGCCUUGGAGGCAAACUAUUGGCUAGCCUACUGAUGAAUUUCCUUUUUGCCCACUUGAGCAAUUGCCAAGGCAGCAAAUAUGCUCGAUGUGAGCAAUACCGUGAAAACUGAGUGACCUAGAGCAUUGAACAAAAUCAAUAAGGCUUAUACAAUCUCAAUUAUGAUUUACUAGCUUUGUUCUACGCAGAGUAGGUUCUAAAUUACGUGGGGCAAUGGGCAAAAUUUUUUUACAAGGCCUUUGAGUAUUAACACUUAAAGAAACGUAAAACAUCUUAAAAUGCAAUCAAUUUUUGACAUCUUGAAUACUAAUAAUAGACAACAUAGUAAGAAAUUUCAAAAAGAAAAAUUGUCUAGAAAAUAUUUUUUUUUUACUUCUUUCAAAAUUUAUUUUUCAAGCAAAUAUAUAUAUUUUUUUUUACUUCAAAAGUGGACCAAUAAACAUACUAGUGUUCCUUUUAGGGAAAGGUGCUAGGAAUUUUAUAUGUUAAAUAUUCAAUUUUUUUAAACUCAGAAAAACUUUAAUGGUUGUUCUUGGUAUAACUAAUAACGAAAAAUAUUAUUAACCAUAGCUCAUUAGCAAUAAUGCUAUCGAAUAUAGAAUUUGUGUAAAAAUUCUUAAUAGUAGAAUAAUUAUUAAUUAAAAAGAGGCCUAAAAAAUAAGCUUUCCUUUUGUAAGUAUAACGUAAAAUAUUUAUUAAUUUGCCAUAUCAAGAAAAUACUAAAAGAAAAAAAUCUUCUUAACAUAUUUUACCUAGACAACCACAAUUGAGCCAUUCUAACAUUUGUUUAAAGCCUUAGGCAACAGCCUGGUUCACCUAUAUUUAAAGCCACCCAUAUAUGCUAGGAAAGCGGCUCUUACCACAUACAAAGGAUUAACUAAUCCCCAAAUCAGACUAUAUGAAAGGAAUAAACAUAACCAUAAAGCCAUAGAUGCUAACAACUGCAUUUGCUAUUAAAAAAUGCAAAUUAAAAAACCUUAUGAUAAUUUAUAAAGCAUACAUAACAUUUAAUUUUAUUAUAUAACUCACUUAAAUGCUGACAUGGCACUGUACUUAGCUUCAAAUGAUGACACUGCAACGAAGGUAGCUCCUCAUGGCUUAUAGCCAUGACAAUCGUAGCAGAAAAAGGUGUUGCCCCAAAGGCCGUUAGCCUCAGUAGAAAUGUGUAUAGCCUCGUGAUGAACAUUUGAUGAUACAAUUACUUGUAGUGACAAAUUGAUAUGUAAUGAGCAAGAAUUCGAAGUAACAAUAGUAGUGGAGAUAAAAGAAUUUAGAGAAGACAGUAGUUUUGGGAAAAUAAUCUUUUUUUUCGUCCUACCCUAUUUAGACAUCUAUUUGGCUUUUUACAAAAGCCAAUGGGAGCAUACAAUUCCAUUACUAAGUACUAACUACUUAUAACCCACAAAAGAUACACACAAACUCAAUAAUGCAUGAUAUACGUAAAUAAUGGGAAAGAUGGGUAAUAUUGCACAUGUAGUAAGUGGUACACAAGUUCAGAACCCAUUUAUUUUCAAAACAAGCUAAAAACUAAGUCCAGACAUGGUACAAGUACGUGGGAUGUAUGGUUGGCUCUUGCUAGUUACCUGGACACAUAUCACAAACUUGUUGAUUUGGAAAAUUAAGGUUAUAUAAACUAAAGAAAAAAGUUUAAGGUUGAUUUGAACCAAAACAUUUAGUUAAUGGAAAACACAUGAGUAUAUAGAGUUAAGAAGGCAGAUGAACACAUAUGUUGGGAUACUUUGUUAGUUGAGAUGCUCAACUAUCACCAUCACCAUUCACUACAAGUUUUCAAAUUUUUUUUUUUUUUUGGGCUAAAUGUAUAGACUUUCGAUUGCCCAAUAUGUGCAAGCCUUUUCUUUUCUUUUUUGUCGGCUCUAUCAGCCAUUUGAUACAAGAGGGGAAAAAUUUUAAUCAAUCUAAUGGAAGGAUAAAAUCAAAUCCUAUAAACGGUAAGGAACAUUGAUGAUUUAUUUAAAAUUGUUGAACGAAUCUUACUAAUGGAUCAUGAGGGUUGAUCUAUCAUUAUCUCAAUCCCCUCAUUUAUACAAGCCAACUUAACCAAGUGUACGUAAUUGAUUUUUGUUUUCUAAAAUAAUUUCCUUGCAAUUUAAUAAGAAAGUCUUAUGCACGAACCACCUGAUAAAACCAAAUGAAGGGUAAUGUAAGCUUAUGUAGGGUCUUUAUCUUAAAAAACUAGCUUGACGAUUGAUGUAAAGUGUAAAAAUCUAAUUAAAAAACUAAACAAAAUAAUAACACUAAAAAUGAUAAUAUUAAUUAAAUGUACACUGAAAUUGCUUUCAUAAUGCAACACGAUAUUAAAAUAAAUAGUUAAUGCAAAAAAACGCAGCAUGUUUUAUUUUCCUUAUUUAUGGAAUCUUUCAAUUCCAUUAAAGUCACUGUGGCAAGUUUCUCAAUAUUCAUUCAUAUAAAUAGAGGCUCAUGACUUUUUGAUUUUUACACAUCUCCUUUAAUUCUAAUUAAGUUGCUUACAAUUCACUUAAUAGAAAAUGUCGAACAGUCUUAGUUUCAUCAUCUUGGCUUUGCUUGUAGUGGCAAACACGAAAAGCACACUUAUUACAGCCACUAGUUUUAGCCAAGGAUAUCACCCAGAUGCUUCAUUUUCUAAUAAUCCCGCAGCAUCACCUGAAAUUGUUGAUUGCUCAGGGCUUACAAGGGAAGAGUGUUUGAUCGAGAAGUCAAAGAACGCUCUCAGAGACUAUAAAUACUACUGCCCCCCGGGGGGAUGCAAAUGAUUUUGAUAAUCAGCUAUUUCAUUUGUCUUUUAUGAAUGCUUUUACAAUAAUGAUCAAUUUCAGUGAAAUUGAAAUUGUGUUUUAAUAAAAGAAGAAAUUAAUUCAUUAUGGGUACAUAACGUUAGGUCAUGUGUUUUCGGUGUGUGAAUUGGCUUUGUUUUUUGUAUGCAUAUCGUUGAAUCAAUCUACGA
This 14830-nucleotide long non-coding RNA is filed under the name Citrus maxima (pomelo). RNAcentral's name for it is "long non-coding RNA (CMAX_LNC000761)". Lineage: Eukaryota; Viridiplantae; Streptophyta; Magnoliopsida; Sapindales; Rutaceae. The record is from RNAcentral.